UGGCUCUCGCAUCGAUGAAGAACGCAGCGAAAUGCGAUACGUAAUGUGAAUUGCAGAUCUUCCCUGAAUCAUCGAAUUUUUGAACGCACCUUGCGCCCCUUGGUUAUUCCGAUGGGCAUGCUUGUUUGAGUGUCGCGAACCUCUCAACCCCGCCUUUUUAUUUUGAAAAGGUUGCUUGGGCUUGGAUCAUGGUCUUUUGCAGAGUUUUUAACUCGGCUAGACUGAAAUACAACAAGUUGUAUGGAACAGUACUGCGGCUUGAACCCGAUGUUGUAAGUCAAACAUCUCGUCGGGGACGCACAUGCUAUAAUCGAGUCCAAUGAACUUAUACAAACCUGACUUUUGACGAGUCAAAGCGCAAUCAGACCUCAAAUCAAGUAGGACUACCCGCUGA
RNAcentral lists this unclassified non-coding RNA (394 nucleotides) under uncultured fungus. Its description in RNAcentral is "partial contains 5.8S ribosomal RNA and internal transcribed spacer 2". The stretch from base 1 to 135 matches the Rfam family "5.8S ribosomal RNA", at positions 22 to 154 of the family's 154-position model. The record is from RNAcentral. Lineage: Eukaryota; Fungi.